RNAcentral lists this ribosomal RNA (429 nucleotides) under Chloroflexota bacterium. Its description in RNAcentral is "Chloroflexi bacterium partial 16S ribosomal RNA". It matches the Rfam family "Bacterial small subunit ribosomal RNA", at positions 355 to 776 of the family's 1533-position model. The record is from RNAcentral. Lineage: Bacteria; Bacillati; Chloroflexota.
UGGGGAAUAUUGCACAAUGGGCGCAAGCCUGAUGCAGCCAUGCCGCGUGUGUGAAGAAGGCCUUCGGGUUGUAAAGCACUUUCAGCGGGGAGGAAGGCGUUAAGGUUAAUAACCUUGGCGAUUGACGUUACCCGCAGAAGAAGCACCGGCUAACUCCGUGCCAGCACCCGCGGUAAUACGGAGGGUGCAAGCGUUAAUCGGAAUUACUGGGCGUAAAGCGCACGCAGGCGGUCUGUCAAGUCGGAUGUGAAAUCCCCGGGCUUAACCCGGGAAUUGCAUCUGAUACUGGUCAGCUAGAGUCUUGUAGAGGGGGGUAGAAUUCCAUGUGUAGCGGUGAAAUGCGUAGAGAUGUGGAGGAAUACCGGUGGCGAAGGCGGCCCCCUGGACAAAGACUGACGCUCAGGUGCGAAAGCGUGGGGAGCAAACAGG